CUGGUUUUGUCAUUGGUAGUCUGUGAAGUUACGAAAUACACAAUGACUAAAAUGGUGACGGCAUAUUUUGGAUUUCUCAUUGCCAUGCAUAUUGUAUUACUGGUCCACGCGCAGACGAGGUCUACGCCAGUGACUACUAAAGCCGGUGGUGUGACUUCCAAUGGGACCGCGAUGCCCCAAGUUGUUUCUAAGACUACUACCAAACCGAAAGGACAAGGCGCUCCCUUCUACUCUAGCACGUUCACGCUGCUCAUCCCUAUGGCGGUGGUUGGUUUACUACAUGGACACUUCUAGAGGGCUUUUCUGUACUGAGCAUUGCCAAGAGUUUCACCUCAGCCUUUAAUGAGCAAACUAAAGACAAUCCUAUGUGCAAGGGAUGGAGUUGUGAAGUUUCAUGCGCACGCGGACACAUUCAUUCUUCACACUGAUUGGCUGAAGGUACGUCAAGGCGCUUCCUGUACGUCUUAAUCUCGUAGGCUCUUCAUGCUUGACCGGACAUGGAGGGGGUUGUUUCGGAACUUUCAGACAACUUUUUGGAUGUCUGAAAUAAACAAAUUUGUCAAGCCCUUUGGCGAAUCACUGAAUUGGUCUGAUCUGUGGCACAGGUCCUGGUGUGCUCAUGCAACAGCUUUGGAUGUUUGUCAGAGGAUUACUAUCAUGCAGCUGAGAUCUACGGUACUUUUAUUUAUGUAACGCUGUGAUUUGUUUAAUGCUUUGUAUUGGUUUAAGCUUUGAAAUAAUUGUAGAAUUUCUGAAUAAAACUGCCCCAUCAAU
Molecule: long non-coding RNA, 774 nt
Organism: Esox lucius (northern pike)
Lineage: Eukaryota; Metazoa; Chordata; Actinopteri; Esociformes; Esocidae
Exons: 2
Source: RefSeq, a predicted model, not a curated record